AUCGAAUGAGGAGACUCAUCGUCAGCGUGAUCGGCUUACAUGCGGUUAACGAUGAAGAAGAAAUUUAUUUCAAAUUCACUGUUUCGCUGUGUCAUGUCUGGUUUCGUCGGCGUGCACUUCUCCUCUAGUAGAACGUCGCGACCCGCUGGGUGUCGGUUU
This 159-nucleotide ribosomal RNA is filed under the name Baryconus sp. M412. Its description in RNAcentral is "partial 28S ribosomal RNA". Lineage: Eukaryota; Metazoa; Arthropoda; Insecta; Hymenoptera; Scelionidae. The record is from RNAcentral.